Long non-coding RNA from Silurus meridionalis, 150 nucleotides. RefSeq lists it as uncharacterized. The record is from RefSeq and is a predicted model, not a curated record. The transcript is spliced from 3 exons. Lineage: Eukaryota; Metazoa; Chordata; Actinopteri; Siluriformes; Siluridae.
CAGCAGCAGAUUUCAGAGCUAAGUGACCACGUGUUUAUUCAUGAUGAAGAGACUUUUUCUCAUCCUUUAUCUCAAUGGUCUUAUACUAUUGGACGUAUCCGUCCCGCAAGAGAUUUCACGCAAUUAUUACCUGAUCCUAACAAAGAAGUC